GACGAACGCUGGCGGCGUGCUUAACACAUGCAAGUCGAACGGGCCUUGUCCCCUUUUUUUUUGGGGGUGGGGUUAGUGGCGAACGGGUGAGUAACACGUGAGUAACCUGCCCCUCACUUCUGGAUAACCGCUUGAAAGGGUGGCUAAUACGGGGUGUUCUGGCCUGCUCGCAUGGGUGGGUUUGGAAAGAUUCGACCGGUUUUGGUUGUUUUGGUGGGGGAUGGGCUCGCGGCCUAUCAGCUUGUUGGUGGGGUGAUGGCCUGCCAAGGCUUUGACGGGUAGCCGGCCUGAGAGGGUGGGCGGUCACACUGGGACUGAGACACGGCCCAGACUCCUACGGGAGGCAGCAGUGGGGAAUAUUGCACAAUGGGCGCAAGCCUGAUGCAGCGACGCCGCGUGAGGGAUGGAGGCCGUCGGGUUGUGAACCUCUUUCGCCAGUGAAGAAGGUCCUGCUCCUUGUGGUGGGGUUGACGGUAGCUGGGUUAAUGAAGCGCCGGCUAACUACGUG
Molecule: ribosomal RNA, 508 nt
Filed under: uncultured bacterium
Lineage: Bacteria
Description: partial 16S ribosomal RNA
Rfam family: Bacterial small subunit ribosomal RNA
Source: RNAcentral